Molecule: ribosomal RNA, 508 nt
Filed under: uncultured bacterium
Lineage: Bacteria
Description: bacterial SSU rRNA
Rfam family: Bacterial small subunit ribosomal RNA
Source: RNAcentral
GAUUAUGGCUCAGGAUGAACGCUAGCGGCAGGCUUAACACAUGCAAGUCGAGGGGCAUCGGGAGUAGCAAUACUGCCGGCGACCGGCGCAAGGGUGCGUAACGCGUGAGCAACAUGCCCGUAUCAGGGGGAUAAUCCAUGGAAACGUGGUCUAAUACCCCAUAGUAAUUAUGUAAGGCAUCUUAUAUAAUUUAAAGCUUUGGUGGAUACGGAUUGGCUCGCGUGACAUUAGCUGGAUGGUAAGGUAACGGCUUACCAUGGCUACGAUGUCUAGGGGUUCUGAGAGGAAGGUCCCCCACACUGGAACUGAGACACGGUCCAGACUCCUACGGGAGGCAGCAGUGAGGAACAUUGGACAAUGGAUGGAAAUCUGAUCCAGCCAUGCCGCGUGCCAGGAAGACGGCCCUAUGGGUUGUAAACUGCUUUUGUAUGGGAGCAAUAAGGGCUACGUGUAGUCCGAUGAGAGUACCAUACGAAUAAGCACCGGCUAACUCCGUGCCAGCCGCCGC